Molecule: long non-coding RNA, 257 nt
Filed under: Elaeis guineensis (African oil palm)
Lineage: Eukaryota; Viridiplantae; Streptophyta; Magnoliopsida; Arecales; Arecaceae
Description: long non-coding RNA (EGUI_LNC001169)
Source: RNAcentral
CUUGUUUGAGCAACUUUUUCUUUCAUUUUUUUAAUAAAUUUUUUUUUUAUUUAACUCUUUUGAUUUUGCAUCUCAUGUGCAAUGCACAUGGUUGAUGCUAAUAGCCAAUGAGAUAGAUUCAACUUUAAUUUAGAGUAAUCUUCUUGUUAUAUGAAUUUGCCAUGAAAUCUAGGUUGGGAAACUCAUUGAAUUAGAUCAUUGUUUCUCAAAUAUCUGGGUUGGAUGUGAGUCAAAGCUUCCUUAUACUCACCGCCAAU